Molecule: long non-coding RNA, 254 nt
Organism: Harpia harpyja (harpy eagle)
Lineage: Eukaryota; Metazoa; Chordata; Aves; Accipitriformes; Accipitridae
Exons: 3
Source: RefSeq, a predicted model, not a curated record
CUCAGGAACAAGCUCCAGCACCUCCUGGAGAGACGGGAAGGUCUCCGAGAGCCAACAGCUUUGAGGAGCAGCUGGCGUCAAGGAGGCAUAAGAUCACUUCUUGGCUGCGGAGAUUUCUUCUGUUCCUCGCCUUCCUGCAGAUCGCCAUCCUCAUCUUCAUCCUCCUGAAGAGGGACAUCCUCAAUGGAGUCCUGCCACCAAAGCUGGCAGACGCCUUUGGGAGCUGCCCAGUGAGGUCCCAGUUCUCUUGAAAU